AUUAUGAGCAAGUCAAUACCUUCUGAAGGUGUGUCACCUUUCUUGUUCUUCAGGCUCUCGAGGUAUGAAGGACAGUUUCUCUUCCAGUGGCCUUCGACAUUGCAGUGGAAACAUUUUCCUUUGUCGUUAGCCUUUUUCUUUUGAACUUCCUUCUUUGGCUUCUUGUCUUUUUUCUGCUUCUUAGCAGGCUUCUUUUUCUUCCAAGUAGACUUUCUCUUGGAACAGAAGUCAACUCAGCAGCAAGGACAUUGCCCCUUGAACCUUUCAAGGCUCCCUCAGCAGUUACCAACAUGUUUAUGAGUUCAGUCUUAGUGCAUUCAAUUUUAUUCAUGUGGUAGUUUACUAUAAACUGACCAAAUGAAUCAGGAAGUGACUGUAGGAUCAAAUCCACUUGCAAUUCCUUGUGCAUGU
Molecule: long non-coding RNA, 411 nt
Filed under: Phoenix dactylifera (date palm)
Lineage: Eukaryota; Viridiplantae; Streptophyta; Magnoliopsida; Arecales; Arecaceae
Description: long non-coding RNA (PDAC_LNC018253)
Source: RNAcentral